AUAGAUGGACACGAAUAGGCCUCUGGCUUAGCGUCUUAGCAGGCAAAGAACGCCAACGCUCUGGAAACGGGUGUUGGUACUUUGCGAAUUGUAAUUUCAGCACGAGCGGGGUCGAAUCCCUUGCAGACGACUUUSAUGUGCGAAAGGGUCCUGUAAGCAGUAGAGUAGCCUUGUUGUUACGAUCUGCUGAGGGUAAGCCCUACUUCGCCUCGAUUUCC
RNAcentral lists this ribosomal RNA (218 nucleotides) under Verticillium albo-atrum. RNAcentral describes it as "partial large sub-unit rRNA". It matches the Rfam family "Eukaryotic large subunit ribosomal RNA", at positions 3178 to 3401 of the family's 3401-position model. Lineage: Eukaryota; Fungi; Ascomycota; Sordariomycetes; Glomerellales; Plectosphaerellaceae. The record is from RNAcentral.